This 307-nucleotide ribosomal RNA is filed under the name Rhipicephalus sanguineus (brown dog tick). RNAcentral's name for it is "partial large subunit ribosomal RNA". Lineage: Eukaryota; Metazoa; Arthropoda; Arachnida; Ixodida; Ixodidae. The record is from RNAcentral.
UCAAUGAUUUUUUAAAUUGCUGUAGUAUUUUGACUAUACAAAGGUAUUGAAAUAAGAUUUUAAUUGAAUGCUAAGAGAAUGGAAGUCCAGAAAAAAACUUUUUUUAAAUUAAAAAUUGAAGUUUUUUUAAUUUGUGCAGAAACAAUUAUUUAUAUUAAAGACAAGAAGACCCUAUGAAUUUAUUAAAUUUUUAUUUAAUAUGUAAUUACUAUUAGAAAAAUUUUGGCUGGGGCGGCUAGAAAAUAUUAUGAACUUUUUAAAAAUAAAAUGAUCCAUUAUUAAUGAUUUUAUGUUAAAUACUCUAGGG